RNAcentral lists this long non-coding RNA (2232 nucleotides) under Piliocolobus tephrosceles (Ugandan red Colobus). Its description in RNAcentral is "lncRNA (ENSPTEG00000013492.1)". The record is from RNAcentral. Lineage: Eukaryota; Metazoa; Chordata; Mammalia; Primates; Cercopithecidae.
AUGAAACAAGAUGAAAAAAAAAAAGAGGUUAAUACUGUAACUAAAAAAGAUGUAGAGCCACAAAAAUUAAGUCAAUCUAAACAAAAGAAAAUCUUACCCAAUGUAGUUAUGCCUGAAAUUAUUUCAUCUAAUUACUCAAAGAGAAAUAAUAAGUAUAUGUUUCCUCGUAGGGGAAUAGUGCCUGUUAGUGUAUUGAAUGAAAUUUAUAUAAAUAGUAAACAGAGACGUACCAACAAAAACAUUAAUGAUAAAACGAGCAGCUCGAGUAGUACCAGUGAAAGUGGAAGCAGUAGUGGACGUAGCAGUGGAAAUGGUAAUGAAAGUGGUAAUGAAAGUGGUAGUAGUAGUAGCAGUAGUAGUGAUAGUGACAGUAGCAGUAACAGUGGUAGUAGCAAUGGUAGUGACAGUAGCAGCGAGAAUGACAAUAAUAGUGAUAGGGAGAAUAAUGGAACUGUCAAUAGCACAAGUAGAAACACAAACACAAGCAAAAACAGAAGUAGAAACACAAACACAAGCAAAAACAGAAGUAGAAAUACAAACACAAGCAAAAACAGAAGUAGAAAUACAUACAAAAGCAAAAACAGAAGUAGAAAUACAAACAUGGUAAGACACACAAACGUGAGCUGUAUCUUUAAUUCUAACGUACAAAUAUUAAAUAUAAUAAAUUAUAACCAACAACAAUAUGAUAAAAUCCAACAAUUAGACGAAGCAUUUUUUUUUAAUAACAAUUACGUACAGUUAUUCAUGAAAACAAGGACGAGAAUAUUUAAUAACGUUUGUUUAAUUCGUAAGUUGUUAAUAGCUAAAAUAAAUAAUAAAUUAGUAUCACUUUUAUCGGUAACACAAAACAAGAUCCAACAAAAUGUUAUUGCUUUAGAAAACUCUACUAUGAAGAGUGUUACAUAUUAUAGAAAUCAAAUAAAGACAAAUAAUUUUAUGUCUAUUAAUGUAAAAAGCAUAAGAAAUAUUCUCAAUUUUUAUGUAAAUCGUCACAGUUGCCACAGUUUGUAUAAUGUUAUUUUGUCAUUAAAUUUAUUUGUUGGUCUAUCAAUCAAUUAUACUAUCAAUAAAAAAAGGAAACUAAUAGGAUCAUUUGAAUUAAUUGAAUCAGGUGAUAGUAUUAUAAGUAAAAGACAAAAACUUAUGAUAAAGGACAAUGCAGGUAUUACACAAAGUGUUAUAAAUAUUGACAAGUCAUCCAAUGAUGAUAAUACUAUUACUAUAGUUGCUAAAAAAAAUGAAGGCAUAAAAAGAAAAGGCGUACAAAACACUAAAGUAAUACAAGACGAUAAUACCUCAAACGAUACAAUAGUGAGAAAAAACAAAAAACAAAAAGUAAAUGACGACAAUGUGAGUAAUAAUAAGGGAGAAAAUAAGGGAGAAAAUAAGGGAGAAAAUAAGGAAGAAAAUAAGGGAGAAAAUAAGGNNNNNNNNNNAGAAAAUAAGGGAGAAAAUAAGGAAGAAAAUAAGGGAGAAAAUAAGGGAGAAAAUAAAGGAGAAAAUAAGGAAGAAAAUAAGGAAGAAAAUAAGGAAGAAAAUAAGGGAGAAAAUAAGGAAGAAAAUGUGAAAAAACGAAUUCAUGAUCUUUCAAAGAAUGAGGUAUUUUGUGAAAAAUGUAUUAUUCACUACUUUAGUACAAAUACUACAGGUUUAUGUACAUGCAGAGAUGGGGUUAAUUUUAAUAAAAAAAAAAAAAGCAAGAUUAAUAUAAAGGCUGAUAUAAAACCUAUGGUACAACGUAAUAUAAUGUUAUACCAAGGUAAGUUAAUAAUAGUUAAAGGUAAUAAGGUGGAAACAAAAGAAGAAACAACAAGUAAGGGUCCAACAGUAAAAACUACAAAUACCCAGAGAGUUGAAGGAUUGGGUGUAAAUAACAAAGCAACAGGUGGUAAAAGAAAAUACACAAGGAGACAACCAAAAAACAAUACUAAUCCAAAAAUAACAACAAACAAAAUAAUAAAAAAAAAAGGUGAUAAUAAUAAUGUGGUGGCAACAAAAAAUGAUAAAAUACAGCCAAGUAAAUCAAAGACACCAAAAGUUGUGAAAGUUGUUUCAACAAAACAUUGGGUAAUGACAUUUACUCCACGUGUAAAUAAUGUAAUUCAUAUAACAAAUGACGAAGAAACAAAAAAGGAAAGUCCAAAAAAAAAAGCUGUAAUUAAGACAAACGGUGGUAUACAUAAGGGUGAUAUAAGAUAUUAUUUAACAAAAAAAAAAAACAAAACAAAUUAA